RNAcentral lists this ribosomal RNA (820 nucleotides) under uncultured Verrucomicrobiae bacterium. RNAcentral's name for it is "bacterial SSU rRNA". It matches the Rfam family "Bacterial small subunit ribosomal RNA", at positions 58 to 855 of the family's 1533-position model. Lineage: Bacteria; Pseudomonadati; Verrucomicrobiota; Verrucomicrobiia. The record is from RNAcentral.
CAAGUCGAGCGAGAUUUUUUCUUGUAGCAAUACAGGGAAAAGUCUAGCGGCGAACGGGUGCUUAACACGUGGGCAAUCUGCCGAGAAGUGGUGGAUAGCUCGCCGAAAGGCGAAUUAAUACCGCAUGUGAUCAGAGUGGACAUCCAUUCAAAAUCAAAGUCGGGGCAACCUGACGCUUCUUGAGGAGCCCGCGGCCUAUCAGCUAGUUGGUGAGGUAACGGCCCACCAAGGCUUUGACGGGUAGCUGGUCUGAGAGGACGACCAGCCACACUGGGACUGAGACACGGCCCAGACACCUACGGGUGGCAGCAGUCGAGAAUUUUUCUCAAUGGGGGAAACCCUGAAGGAGCGACGCCGCGUGGAGGAUGAAGGUCUUCGGGUUGUAAACUCCUGUCAUUUGGGAACAAGGUGUGCGCGUUAACUGCGCGCGCAUUGAUAGUACCAGAAGAGGAAGAGACGGCUAACUCUGUGCCAGCAGCCGCGGUAAUACAGAGGUCUCAAGCGUUGUUCGGAUUCAUUGGGCGUAAAGGGUGCGUAGGCGGCGCGGUAAGUCGGGUGUGAAAUCUCGGAGCUUAACUCCGAAACUGCAUUCGAUACUGCCGUGCUUGAGGACUGGAGAGGAGACUGGAAUUUACGGUGUAGCGGUGAAAUGCGUAGAUAUCGUAAGGAAGACCAGUGGCGAAGGCGGGUCUCUGGACAGUUCCUGACGCUGAGGCACGAAGGCCAGGGGAGCAAACGGGAUUAGAUACCCCGGUAGUCCUGGCAGUAAACGGUGCACGUUUGGUGUGGGAGGAUUCGACCCCUUCUGCGCCGGAGCUAA